This is a long non-coding RNA of Sitodiplosis mosellana (orange wheat blossom midge), 567 nucleotides long. RefSeq lists it as uncharacterized. The transcript is spliced from 2 exons. The record is from RefSeq and is a predicted model, not a curated record. Lineage: Eukaryota; Metazoa; Arthropoda; Insecta; Diptera; Cecidomyiidae.
AGGAAAGCAGUACGAUAAAAUCUACCAAUUGUGUGUGAUAUAAAAGUGGUCAAACUAAGUGUUUGCACAUUAAUCACAAACUCUUUAGUUUCGAUUGUUGCUUCAUUUACCAGUAAAAACGGUUUUACAUCAAAAUCGCUUAGCAUGCGUGCCACAUUCAGCAUUAUCUUCGGAAUUUUGUUCAUAAUUUCAUUCAUCACGAUCGCAACUUCUGAAUCUAAAGGCAAAUGUUAUGAUUACAAUGGUACAUGUAGAAACAAGUGUUUUGACCCUUUAACAUGGAUAGAUACUAAAGACUGUCAGACAAAGAAACACAAAUGUUGUCUUGCAUCGGAGAAAAGGUGUGCGAAAGAUUAUAACGGUGUAUGUGCGGACAGAUGUGGCCACAUGAAAGUCGUUGAAACGAGAGACUGUUGGUUAGCCAAAAGAUUAUGCUGUUAUGAUUGAUUGAAUCGGAAUUAAUGCUAGAAUUAUUUAUUGAAUUGACACUUCCAAUUAUUGACAUAUAUUGUAUUUAAAUUUAAAGCAUCAACAAAGAAAAUAUACUUGAGUACACGUUUACAGCGA